This 495-nucleotide ribosomal RNA is filed under the name uncultured bacterium. Its description in RNAcentral is "partial 16S ribosomal RNA". It matches the Rfam family "Bacterial small subunit ribosomal RNA", at positions 30 to 507 of the family's 1533-position model. The record is from RNAcentral.
UGAACGCUGGCGGCGUGCCUAAUACAUGCAAGUCGAGCGACCGGACGAGAAGCUUGCUUCUCUGAUGUUAGCGGCGGACGGGUGAGUAACACGUGGAUAACCUACCUAUAAGACUGGGAUAACUUCGGGAAACCGGAGCUAAUACCGGAUGAUAUUUUGAACCGCAUGGUUCAAAAGUGAAAGACGGUCUUGCUGUCACUUAUAGAUGGAUCCGCGCUGCAUUAGCUAGUUGGUAAGGUAACGGCUUACCAAGGCAACGAUGCAUAGCCGACCUGAGAGGGUGAUCGGCCACACUGGAACUGAGACACGGUCCAGACUCCUACGGGAGGCAGCAGUAGGGAAUCUUCCGCAAUGGGCGAAAGCCUGACGGAGCAACGCCGCGUGAGUGAUGAAGGUCUUCGGAUCGUAAAACUCUGUUAUUAGGGAAGAACAUAUGUGUAAGUAACUGUGCACAUCUUGACGGUACCUAAUCAGAAAGCCACGGCUAACUACGUG